UGAUUCUAUCGUGCCAACACCGCGAACCUACUUAUGCCCUCCUGUUGUAGGCAUGCUCAAAAGGCGUGUCUAGAUGGGUGCGUAGGCCAGGGGCAGGCAUCUUAUGAUGUCAGUUAGCCUGGCUGGGCGGGUCCAACACCAAUUGGGGCCUUUUGCCUUUCAGGCAAAGGGACUGCUCGGUUGUGAGGGGUGGCUGUUUAACCUACUUCCAAUCAAUUUUUCUGAAGACAGUUCUACUGGCCGGCUCUGCCGGCUGUAGUCUGGCUAACUAAGGAUAACUCUCAACAACGGAUAUCUUGGCUCCCGUAACGAUGAAGAACGCAGCGAAAUGCGAUACGUAGUGUGAAUUGCAGAAUUCCGUGAACCAUCGAAUCUUUGAACGCAAAUUGCGCUCGAGGCUUCGGCCAAGAGCAUGUCUGCCUCAGCGUCGGCUACUACCCUCAACUAAAUUUCAUUGGAUUUCCAAUGCAAAGGCAGUUGGAAUUGGCCGUCCGGUUUGCCCAUUGGGUACCCGGUCAGCUGAAAUACAAUCACGCUUUGUGGGCUCCUUUCCAUCUGGAAAGGCGAGUUCCGAUUUGGUAGGUGACCUUUGCCGGUUGCAUGCCUUCGUUGCUCGCUAUGCCUAUCAUUGGCCGUGUGCAGGACGCCCUUUGGCUUUCGA
Molecule: ribosomal RNA, 661 nt
Filed under: Trebouxia corticola
Lineage: Eukaryota; Viridiplantae; Chlorophyta; Trebouxiophyceae; Trebouxiales; Trebouxiaceae
Description: eukaryotic LSU rRNA
Rfam family: 5.8S ribosomal RNA (bases 277-430)
Source: RNAcentral